Octodon degus (degu) is the source of this 105-nucleotide small nuclear RNA. Lineage: Eukaryota; Metazoa; Chordata; Mammalia; Rodentia; Octodontidae. The record is from Ensembl.
AUGCUCACUUUGACAGCACAUAUACUAAAACUGGAAUGAUACAGAGAAGAUUAGCAUGUGCCCUGAGCAAGGAUGACAUAAACUUGUGAAGCUUAAAAAGAUAAU